GAUGAACGCUGGCGGCGUGCUUAACACAUGCAAGUCGAACGGAAAGGCCCAAGCUUGCUUGGGUACUCGAGUGGCGAACGGGUGAGUAACACGUGGGUGAUCUGCCCUGCACUUCGGGAUAAGCCUGGGAAACUGGGUCUAAUACCGGAUAGGACCACUUCUUGGAUGUUGUGGUGGAAAGUUUUUUCGGUGUGGGAUGAGCUCGCGGCCUAUCAGCUUGUUGGUGGGGUAAUGGCCUACCAAGGCGUCGACGGGUAGCCGGCCUGAGAGGGUGUACGGCCACAGUGGGACUGAGAGACGGCCCAGACUCCUACGGGAGGCAGCAGUGGGGAAUAUUGCACAAUGGGCGCAAGCCUGAUGCAGCGACGCCGCGUGGGGGAUGACGGCCUUCGGGUUGUAAACUCCUUUCGCUAGGGACGAAGCGUUUUGUGACGGUACCUGGAGAAGAAGCACCGGCUAACUACGUG
RNAcentral lists this ribosomal RNA (467 nucleotides) under uncultured bacterium. RNAcentral's name for it is "partial 16S ribosomal RNA". It matches the Rfam family "Bacterial small subunit ribosomal RNA", at positions 28 to 507 of the family's 1533-position model. The record is from RNAcentral.